RNAcentral lists this unclassified non-coding RNA (380 nucleotides) under uncultured bacterium. RNAcentral describes it as "contains 16S-23S intergenic spacer region". The record is from RNAcentral.
UCCGCCUUAUGGCGGCAGUCUCCCCAGAGUGCCCGGCUUCACCCGAUGGCAACUAAGGAUAAGGGUUGCGCUCGUUGCGGGACUUAACCCAACACCUCACGGCACGAGCUGACGACAACCAUGCAGCACCUGUCCACAGGCCUCUUGCGAGGCGCAUACAUCUCUGCAUGCUUCCUGUGAAUUUCAAACCCGGGUAAGGUUCUUCGCGUAGCGUCGAAUUAAACCACAUGCUCCACCACUUGUGCGGGCCCCCGUCAAUUCCUUUGAGUUUCAACCUUGCGGCCGUACUCCCCAGGCGGGAUACUUAUUGCGUUAGCUGCGGCACAGAAGGGGUCAAUACCUCCUACACCUAGUAUCCAUCGUUUACAGCAACAGGACUA